Molecule: ribosomal RNA, 215 nt
Filed under: uncultured Staphylococcus sp.
Lineage: Bacteria; Bacillati; Bacillota; Bacilli; Caryophanales; Staphylococcaceae
Description: partial 16S ribosomal RNA
Rfam family: Bacterial small subunit ribosomal RNA
Source: RNAcentral
CUUCGGGAAACCGGAGCUAAUACCGGAUAAUAUUUCGAACCGCAUGGUUCGAUAGUGAAAGAUGGUUUUGCUAUCACUUAUAGAUGGACCCGCGCCGUAUUAGCUAGUUGGUAAGGUAACGGCUUACCAAGGCGACGAUACGUAGCCGACCUGAGAGGGUGAUCGGCCACACUGGAACUGAGACACGGUCCAGACUCCUACGGGAGGCAGCAGAA